GAAGGUGCUGACUCAAUAGACUUCCCAAUUGCUAGGUGUCUCGUCCAACACCUCUUUGAAGAUGAUUGGUCAGCCAGAGAGACAAAGGAUAGGGAGAUGUGGAGCCUUCAAUAAAUCCUGCAGUGAAGUUGCAUUGGGACAUUGACAGGACGCAGAGCUGGGCUGGAAGUGGCAGAUGGAGUCCAAUCUGGAAAAGUGUGAAGUGAUUCAUUCUGGAAGGUACUCAGGAAAGUCCUGACUCAAUAGCCUUCACAGCUGCGGGGUAGAUGUUCCAUCACCACAUUGAAGAUGGUUGGUCUGCCAGAGAGAGACAAAGGGCAGGGAAAUCUGGAGCCUUCAAUAAAUCCUGUAGUGAGGUAUUCCUGAUGUCCCUGACUCAGCAGAAUUCCCAAUUCCUGUCUCGUCCAUCACCACAUUGAAGACGGUUGGUCAGCCGGAGAGAGAUGGAGAGUGAGAUCUGGAUCCUUCAGUAAAUCCUG
Hemiscyllium ocellatum (epaulette shark) is the source of this 479-nucleotide long non-coding RNA. RefSeq lists it as uncharacterized. The transcript has 4 exons. The record is from RefSeq and is a predicted model, not a curated record. NCBI's taxonomy places the organism in Eukaryota, Metazoa, Chordata, Chondrichthyes, Orectolobiformes, Hemiscylliidae.